Long non-coding RNA from Felis catus (domestic cat), 673 nucleotides. RefSeq lists it as uncharacterized. The transcript has 6 exons. NCBI's taxonomy places the organism in Eukaryota, Metazoa, Chordata, Mammalia, Carnivora, Felidae. The record is from RefSeq and is a predicted model, not a curated record.
AGUCACUGGAAACCAGUGUUGGUCGUGACUGAGCAGUCCUCAUGGGAGGGUGGCAAAGCAGUGAUCUGAAGCAUGCUUGAGGCAAGGUUUGUGAAGAGAAGAGACUCCACCAAACACUGGCCCUUCUGGGGAAGUGUGGGCAAGGUGUGAGCAGAGAAAGGACAGCUUCCCUGGGAGCUCUCUCAGCUCCAGUGACCUCCUUAGCUUCCCCUGGCACCCUCUAAGCAACUCCACAGACAGGUCUGGGAUCAAGGGCAGUCUUCCCCUUCCCAUCCCCCUUUGGAUCAAGCUGGGCCUUGUUUUAAGUGCUGGACAGAAGGUGGGCCAAAUGUGAUUUGGAAGCCUAGAUGGGACAAUGGAGCAGCACAGGAGGGUUAUUCGGGUGUCUGGAGACUCUCUUGGCACUACACAUAGUCACCAAGUUCUCUGAAGGCAGGUGCCUUCAACAACUCUAAUGUGCCAGCUGUGAGACAUUCAGACAGUAUUAUUCACGCAGUAGGUGCUCCAAGUGUGAACCUAAUCGAUGUUGAUGAUGGUGUUAAUGAAGAAGAUGAUGAUGGCAACCAUAAAAAUAAAAAUAAAAAAAUCUCAGUCUUCAAAGAGAAGAACCUAAGGAGUUUGAAAGAACAUGUUUUCAAGCACCUGGGCAAUAAAUUUUCUCUUAUCAGCUUGA